Molecule: transfer RNA, 83 nt
Filed under: Faecalicatena contorta
Lineage: Bacteria; Bacillati; Bacillota; Clostridia; Lachnospirales; Lachnospiraceae
Description: tRNA-Tyr
Rfam family: tRNA
About the family: Transfer RNA (tRNA) molecules are approximately 80 nucleotides in length. Their secondary structure includes four short double-helical elements and three loops (D, anti-codon, and T loops).
Source: RNAcentral
CGGUAGGUAGCCUAGCGGCGAAGGCAAGUGACUGUAAAUCACCCACAAAGAAACAUCGGAGGUUCGAGUCCUCCCCCUGCCGA